Long non-coding RNA from Coturnix japonica (Japanese quail), 471 nucleotides. RefSeq lists it as uncharacterized. The record is from RefSeq and is a predicted model, not a curated record. NCBI's taxonomy places the organism in Eukaryota, Metazoa, Chordata, Aves, Galliformes, Phasianidae.
CUAUUAAUGAAGGUGUAUGCUGCUGUGCCAAAUUGCUGGGCUCUGACUAAAAAAAUAUGUUUAGUGGAGAUUAGCUCUCCGCUAGUGCAGCUAUCUGCUUGUAGCUGCCUUGUGUUUGGGCUGCCUGCACUACCCAUUCUGAAGCCUCACCUAAUUGUGCUGUGUGAUAAGCCCUUCGCAUGCAUGAUUUGAGCAAAAUGACAAAAUGCAUCCAGGGUGGAGAAGAAAAAGAAGCCUCCAGAGAGAGAUGAGACAACUGCCUUUUCCUGCUGUUUCAUCAUCAUGUGCUGACAAAAAUGAUCUCAUAACAGAUCUGGAAGGAGGGAGCCAGAAGGACAGUUUUCACCAGGUCGUGUCUAGAUGAAAAACUCUGGGUUAUGCUACAUCUGCACACUGCAGAGACAUGAAAAUAAAAGUAUCCAAAAAUUCCUGCAUGUAAGAGGAACUCUUGCAGGAGUUGCCAUGUUGCUC